AAUCCUGCUAAAGUCAAGAGGGCUCCUUGAACAGAGCCCCUGGAGUCCUACAGUGCUCAGAGUCACGGCAACAUCUCUGUGCCCCACACAGAGGCUGAGGUGAAGAAAAGGCCCCUCUCCCCUUUGGGGUGAAUUUGGCACCUCUCAAGAUCACAGACUGUCAUCCUGGUUUGGCACAAGGUCUGGCUUCAGCAGGAAGGAUGGAGAGUCUCCAGUUUCUGCCCAGUGCCCAGGAUCCUGCCUGCAAGGGAGAUUUAACUGGUGGGACACGUAUCCAUACCCAGUCUGUAUCUUAGGAAAUUACACCCCAAAGGGGAAUGGACUCCUCAGUUCUGUGCCAGUCCCUGAAAUACGAGGUGUCCCUGAUAAUGGGUGGAGGAAGAAGUGGAGAAGAAAGAGGGGAGAGAGUUAAGAAAAUCGUAAUUGGGUCCUUGGCACAAGCUCAUCAUGCAUAAACAUGGCAGACAAAAAAUCCUGAGUGUUAAAAGAAGUUCUUACCUCC
Molecule: long non-coding RNA, 502 nt
Organism: Corvus hawaiiensis (hawaiian crow)
Lineage: Eukaryota; Metazoa; Chordata; Aves; Passeriformes; Corvidae
Exons: 4
Source: RefSeq, a predicted model, not a curated record